AAAUCAGAAAAAGAAAAUGCAUGGAUAUAGAGGAUUACUAUAAGGGAGAUAAACCAUUUCAUAAAAACAUGAAAAGCAAAAGUAACAAUCAGUUGAAUCU
Molecule: long non-coding RNA, 100 nt
Organism: Ipomoea nil (Japanese morning glory)
Lineage: Eukaryota; Viridiplantae; Streptophyta; Magnoliopsida; Solanales; Convolvulaceae
Exons: 3
Source: RefSeq, a predicted model, not a curated record